GACGAACGCUGGCGGCGUGCUUAACACAUGCAAGUCGAACGCUGAAGCUCAGCUUUUGUUGGGUGGAUGAGUGGCGAACGGGUGAGUAACACGUGAGUAACCUGCCCCCUUCUUUGGGAUAACGCCCGGAAACGGGUGCUAAUACUGGAUAAUCACUGGUCUUCGCAUGGGGGUUGGUGGAAAGGGUUUUUCUGGUGGGGGAUGGGCUCGCGGCCUAUCAGCUUGUUGGUGGGGUGAUGGCCUACCAAGGCUUUGACGGGUAGCCGGCCUGAGAGGGUGACCGGUCACAUUGGGACUGAGAUACGGCCCAGACUCCUACGGGAGGCAGCAGUGGGGAAUAUUGCACAAUGGGCGCAAGCCUGAUGCAGCGACGCCGCGUGAGGGAUGGAGGCCUUCGGGUUGUGAACCUCUUUCGCUCAUGGUCAAGCCGCAACAAUGGUUGUGGUGAGGGUAGUGGGUAAAGAAGCGCCGGCUAACUACGUG
This 483-nucleotide ribosomal RNA is filed under the name uncultured bacterium. RNAcentral's name for it is "partial 16S ribosomal RNA". It matches the Rfam family "Bacterial small subunit ribosomal RNA", at positions 28 to 507 of the family's 1533-position model. The record is from RNAcentral.